AGAGUUUGAUCCUGGCUCAGAGCGAACGCUGGCGGCAGGCCUAACACAUGCAAGUCGAGCGCCCCGCAAGGGGAGCGGCAGACGGGAGAGUAACACGUGGGAACGUACCCUUUGGUUCGGAACAACACAGGGAAACUUGUGCUAAUACCGGAUAAGCCCUUACGGGGAAAGAUUUAUUGCCAAAGGAUCGGCCCGCGUCUGAUUAGCUUGUUGGUGAGGUAACGGCUCACCAAGGCUACGAUCAGUAGCUGGUCUGAGAGGAUGAUCAGCCUCACUGGGACUGAGACACGGCCCAGACUCCUACGGGAGGCAGCAGUGGGGAAUAUUGGACAAUGGGCGCAAGCCUGAUCCAGCCAUGCCGCGUGGAUGAUGAAGGCCCUAGGGUUGUAAA
RNAcentral lists this ribosomal RNA (391 nucleotides) under uncultured bacterium. RNAcentral's name for it is "bacterial SSU rRNA". It matches the Rfam family "Bacterial small subunit ribosomal RNA", at positions 8 to 429 of the family's 1533-position model. The record is from RNAcentral.